Eriocheir sinensis (Chinese mitten crab) is the source of this 4067-nucleotide long non-coding RNA. RefSeq lists it as uncharacterized. The record is from RefSeq and is a predicted model, not a curated record. The transcript has 2 exons. Lineage: Eukaryota; Metazoa; Arthropoda; Malacostraca; Decapoda; Varunidae.
ACACCCGCUUAUCCACUAAGCUUUGUUUUCCUUGUAUUUCUUUCGUUUUUUCUGCCUUUUUCUUAAUUUUUCUGACUGAUAGCGGUGUAUGAUACUUUGGGUCUGUCUGAUGAGGAGUGGGAGCGGGUGGCGUGCCGCAUGGCCUUGGGCUCAGUGUGUGAAAUAAGACGGGAGUGGGUGUACGUACUCUCGUCACGUCAUUCUCUCUUCCAGGGUGAUGACUUUUGUGCGCUUGUUUUGUCGCACCAACUAUAGUAAGUGACAAUGCCACGUACGAGUGCAAAAAGAAAGUCGAAAAGUGAAGCAGGCCGCCAGAACAUAUUGAAAAGGUGGAAGAAAUGUGACGAUACGCAUCAGCCACCCUCCCAGGAGGGUGUCAAAGACUUCACAGCAUAUACGCCACGGAAAGCAGUAAAGAAGUCAAAGAAGAAAAGCAAGACAACACCUGGCCCUGAUUACCAGCCUGGCCAUUUCAAAACAAACUGUCCUGGCAACAAGGAGAUGGGGUGGGCUAAACUGAGACCCAGUGAAUGUUAUUUUCAUUUUAGAUAUAUAUAAUAUAUCAAAAAUAUGUUAUAUAAUCUAAUGUGAUUAUAACAGGGGACCAGGAGCCUUGGUUUCUUUGGAGGUCUACCGGGCAAGGGAGAACUCACCUUCCGUAGGGGCUAUACAGGUGACAUAAACAUGAUGUAAACAUGGCCUGAACAACCUAAACAACCACUACCAACCUUCCAGGAAGUCCGAAGAGUUAUAUAAGUAAAUAUUUGGAUUUGGUGCAUGUUGGAGUGAUUUUUUUGGGGUAUUGAAGAUGUUCACACAAAAAUGCAUUUUUCUCAAAACUUGUUUUUUGGCGCACAUAAUGUUGAAUAACUAUUAGUAAUUGACCAUUUUUAGAAAUUCAAGUAUCAAAAUGAUCACCACCCUCGUCUUUAGUAAACGUACUAUCAUCAAGCAUUAAUUUCCUCAAAUAAAUUUAUGACAAAUUUAUAAAACUCAAAUUUUUGACAAAAUAAAAGGUAACAUUUUGCGGUGUAAUAAAUUUGUUGUAACUUCAGCCAGGUGUACGAAAAUAGUAACAUAGGUACUUUAUUGUGUAUAUUAUCUGUGAUCAAAAGGAAAUUGCCAUACUAUUCAUAGUUUUGAAGUUAUCACGUGAUUUUGAAUGUCUUUCGUCAUCGCCAAACAUAACACACUGCACAAAAACUACGGCAUCUUUCCUUACCAUAUUACUGGCAUAGAAGCACUGCAUAUUAAUACACAUUGGGUAAAAAUAUUAUUCACCUAGGUGAGAAAAUAAAGGUAGGAGGACCCAAAAACCGAUAUCAGUGCCAAGCGGCCGAAUUUCCACCUUAAGUAAUUUUGCAGCAAUUUCCAGGUUUUUGUCUACAUCAGUUUAUCAUCAUGUGCCGCCCAUUUCUGUAUAGUUGCCUUCGUUCACCAUUCAAGGUUUCAGUGUUCUAGAAUUACCCUUUUCAUUUCUGCCUAAAUCUUAAGCUUUUUUUUAUGUAUUUAUUUAUUUAUUUAUAUUUUUUUUACGCCUAUUUCGCUGGUAGGCUUACUUGAGGGGCCUGGAUGGUAGUCGGCCCCAGCCCAUCAUGGUGCAGGCAAGUGUUUAAAGAUGAGAAUAAUGAGAUAAUGACUGUUGUUUUCUGAUUUCCUGAAAAGUAGAGAAUAAUGACUUGGGCAGCUUGUUUACGAAGGUGACGACAUGUAACAGGCAGUGCCAUGUAGUGUGUUCCAGUCGCCGUUGCCAGAUUGUUGUACUCAGAGCAUAGUAUUUACCAUUUUCCGAUGCCUAACUAUUGCCAAGAAACAUCAGGAAUUAACUAUUUUAAUGAUAAUUUUAAGUGAAUCUCCUUACUGGGGUCCACAAAGCAUACUAUUUACCGGUUUCUGACGCCUAACUAUUGCCAAGAAACAUCAGGAAUUAACUAUUUUAACGAUAAUUUUAAGUGAAUCUCCUUAUUGGGGUCCACGAGACAGUUUUUGGGUUGGAUGUCGGUAAAUAUAAGAUGCUGAGUAUGACAAUCUGGCAAUUUUGGUUCCAGUGGUGCUGUUCAGGUUCUGCCAUCAUGUACGUAUAUGCAAACACCCGUACCUUACCUCAGCCAAUCAGCGAGUACGCCAUGAAGGGAACAAAAGCCGCCGGGAUUAGUUUGGUUCUGGCGUUUGUGAUGUUUCCGUUAUGGCAGGAAGUUGAUCAGUCAUGUGAGGUGGUGAUGUGUCUCCGCUCGUCCUGUCCCAUUCCUCUAUCCUUCUUUUUCCCUUGUUUUCCUCGGUACAUGUUCUGGCGUCUGUAAUGUUUCCGUUAUGGCAGAAAAACGAUCAGUUACGUGAGGUGGUGAGGUGUCUGUCCGCUCGUCCUGUCCCAUUCCUCUAUCCUUCCUUUCCCUUGUUUUCCUCAGUACAUGUUCUGGCGUUUGUGAUGUUUCCGUUAUGGCAGGAAAUCGAUCAGUUACGUGAGGUGGUGAGGUGUCUCUCCGCUCAUCCUGUCCCAUUCCACUAUCCAUCAUUUCCCCUGUUUUCCUCAGUACAUUUGUGUGUGUGUGUGUGUUUGUCCGUUCAUCAAUCCCUGGUGCUGGAAGAUUGCCGUAUUGUUUUCUCAGGCUAAAAACUUCCAUUCGUGCAUCGGUCAACCAUUUCCGCUGCAUGAAUUUUACAGUAACAUCGCAGUGACACAACUUCCAUCAUUCGCUUGGAUAACAUCAAUGCAUUUAACCCAUGGAGGUAGAAUUGGUGGAUUCGACACGGCCCGCUAAUCCCAUCCAUCGAGGUGAAGCCAUCAAACUGUCAAAUUUACGGCCAAAAGAUGGGGGUGGGCGAGCCUGGCCGAGCCCAUUAAGAGUGAGCCUGACCUGACAACACCUGACACCUGGCCGUAAAAAUGACAGCUCGGGUAGAUUCACUUAACCCGUCCGCUGCAACUGGCACGGAUUUGGCUUUCACUGGUAGCCUGGUAACAUGUAUUCCCAGGUCUUUCUCUGCCUCUGUGGUGGAUAGUGGAGUGUUUCCCAUGUGGUAUUGGUGUGCUGGAUAUCCCCUCCCAAGGUGCAGGAUUUUACAUUUUUCUUCAUUGAAUAGUAUCAUCCACUUUUUGUUCCAUUCCUGUAGCUUGGUGAUGUCUUCUUGUAGGAAAUCCACAGUCAAGGGGUUGAUUUGGCUGAUGUCGACUCCACCAAUUCUACCUCCAUGAUUUAACUUAUACACAAUUAUCUAAACAUGUAUUAAUGGAAGGCUUGUCUGCAGUGCUGGUUCUAGGUACAAGCAAUCCAAGAAGCUGCUUGUGGCUCAUUUGUACACAGUGACCCUUGAACAUUCAUUGCUGGAAAAUAUAACCCACUCAGCCGUGAACUCUUUACUAUAGAAUCUCCACCAGGCAGAUUAAGCAACCCACCUUCAUUGUCCUGUAUUGUGACCUUUUUAAAUACACCUCAGGACGCACUAUAGGGCCUUGAGUCUAUCCUGGUGAGGGCUGAGAGAGACCUAGAACCAGCACUGCCUGUCUGAGAAGGGUGUGGAGAGGCAUUGACCAACCCUGUGUAUGUGAGACUGUGAGUGUGUGUGUGUGGGUGUGUGUCCCCAUGUACAUCUCGGCAGUGCCUCUACAUCCCACUAGAACCAGCACUGCCUGUCUGAGAAGGGUGCGUAGAGGUGCUGGCCAACCCCAUGUAUGUGUGUGUGAGUUUGUAAGUGUGUGUGGGUAUGGGUGUGUGUCCCCAUGUACGUCUCGGCAGUGCCUCUACAUGCCACUAAAACCAGCACUGCCUGUCUGAGAAGGGUGUGAAGAGGUGCUGGCCAACCCCAUGUAUGUGUGGUGAUACUGUGAGUGUGUGUGUGGGUGUGUGUCCCCAUGUUACGGCAGUGCCUCUACAUGCCACAAGCAGCGUCGUAUCCCUGGUUGGUGUGUGUCAGCGUUGUGUCCAGUGGUGCUGUGUGGUGGAUGUCUAACUAACACUUGGAGGUGAAUACAGCAUCAUACGAGGGUGGUGUUUGUACUCCUCCAGGUGUCGUAUCACUCUGUACAAUGUAGUUCAGUAAAGAUCUUCAGUAAAAUCCCAAAGCCAAAC